UUAACAAGAAGAGACGUGUAACGGUAAAGACUAUUUCAAUCAAAAGAAAUGGUAAUAAUGUUGUAUCUAAUAUAUCAAAUUCUGUCUAUGGUUUUUGCCAUUUAACAUUACCAGAAUAUUCAAUUUUAGGGAUCGAUAUGGUUUUAUACGUGCAUAAAAACAUUUCCUCCAAUAACUGUUUUGGUAUUAAUGAUGAACAAAUAUCGUGAAGAGAAAGAAGCCUCUGGUUUUUAUUGAGUGUGUAGUUCAGUCACAAAGAUAACCCGUUCUUACAAACUUAAGCAGCUUCCAACCACAAAACCUAAACAAGAAAAAACCAACAUGUCCGCCUUCCAAUAAUUCUCUUGUAGAUGUACAGAUUAAAGGUACAAGACAUCCAAGGAAGGAAUGUAACAGCACUACCUCUCAAGCCCCGCGAAGGCAAAAGCUCUCAGGCGGCCACUGCGGAACAUGCGCUUGGAUGUAUCACCCACAGAUGGAGCUGAAUAUAUAUAUAACUAGAAGACCUGCAGAUAUAUAUUUCUACCCCUUAACAAGACUACUCUCGAGUUAAGCAAAUUAUUGAGCUUACAGAAAUGCAAGUAAACAGGUCUCAGACAUCCAAGGAAGGAAAGGUAGCAGCAUAAGCUCUCAAGCCUGGCGAAGGCGAAAGCUCUUAGGCGGCCACUGCGAAUGUUUUGAGAAACAAGCCUUCGAGUUUGUCAUCAUCGAUGAAAUACUCAUCACUAACAUAACAAUCACAUAGCACAUUAUCCUCAAAAACCUCAACCCAUCAUUACAAAGGAUAACCACGCAACAACAUGAAAUGAGAAAGGCAACUGCUGCAAAACUAAGCAAAUCCAAGAACCUAUUCCAACUGUCAAAAAAAGUGCAAUUAAACGUCCGCGAUAAUAGUCUCAGACAUCCAAGGAAGGAAAUGUAGCAGCAUUAACUCUCAAGCCUGGCGAAGGCGAAAGCUCUUAGGCGGCCACUGCGAAUGUUUUGAGAAACAAGCCUUCAAGUUUGUCAUCAUCGAUGAAUUAAUCACGCUAACAUGACAUUCACAUAACAAAUUACUCUAAAAAAACCCCAACCCCAUCAUUACAAAGCAUGACCAUGAAACAACAUGAAAUGAGAAAGGCAACUGCUGCAAAACUAAGCAAAUUCAAGAACCUAUUCCACCUGUCAAACAAAUGCAAUUAAAUGUCCGUUAUAAUAGUCUCAGACAUCCAAGGAAGGAAAGGUAGCAGCAUUAGCUCUCAAGCCUGGCGAAGGCGAAAGCUCUUAGGCGGCCACUGCGAAUGUUUUGAGAAACAAGCCUUCAAGUUUGUCAUCAUCGAUAAAAUAAUCACUGCAGCAUGACAUUCACAUAACACAAUACUCACAAAACCCCCCACCCCAUCAUUAAAAAUCACACCUACACAAGAAUAUGAAAUGAGAAGCGCCACCUGCUACAAAACUAACCAAAUACAAAAUCCUAUCCAACUGUCAGACAAUUGAAACUAAAGCUCCACGGUAAUAGUCUCAGACAUCCAAGGAAGGAAAGGUAGCAGCAUUAGCUCUCAAGCCCGGCAAAGGCGAAAGCUCUUAGGCGGCCACUGCGAAUGUUCUUUGAGAAACAAGCCUUUGGAUAGCAAUUUCAUGCUGACCAAAACAUUAACCCUCAAGCUAAUCCACACACACACACAAACAAAUCAAUCGCAUACGUUCUGCCGCAAGGAUCGGUAUUAGCGCUAGACAAAACAUGAGAAAAAAAUGGAACUCAAGGUGAGAUUUUCCAUCCUAAAAUGAUCAGCAGCUGACUAAAAGAACACGACUUGCUGACAAAGUGAAUCAGAUGGACAAAAAUCAAUGUGAGGGACUAAGUUCAUCCCUAAAGCAAUCGAAAAACUUUCCCUGCUAGAGGGGCAGACGUAUAGUCCCAAGACGGAAGUGCCCACCAACAAAUUCCUUCGGAACAACCACUAUGGACCUCACAAAUCCAACGAUAUUUCCAAACUCGAAAACCAUAAAAAGCACGCGGCUUGCUCGAAAUCCCCGCUUCAGGCAACGAAAAGCCACAACAACGAGCACGACAGAACACUACGCUAAGCCAAAGCCCGACAUCCGAACGAGCAAGCACAUGAAAGACCGACAUAAACCCAAUUCCCCACUACCCACGAACGCUAACAUCGGAACCAUAUCCGACGCGGCGGACGGCGCUCGGGAGUUUGCAGAUUCCGACAAACAUCGCCGCCGCCGGAAGAAAGAGAGGGAGGGGGGAA
This is a long non-coding RNA of Syzygium oleosum, 2243 nucleotides long. RefSeq lists it as uncharacterized. The transcript is spliced from 2 exons. The record is from RefSeq and is a predicted model, not a curated record. NCBI's taxonomy places the organism in Eukaryota, Viridiplantae, Streptophyta, Magnoliopsida, Myrtales, Myrtaceae.